CAAAGGAUGGGCUCGGCCGGCUUCCCCAAAAAAAACAAUGGCUCAAGAGUUCUUUCCUGAUAUGGACACAAAACCUGGACGGGCAGGCGGCCAGACGCGCUCCAGCUCGGAGCUCCCUGGAGUUAAAGGUCUUUCGGUGUCAGCGAGGUUCUCCCCCCGGAGCAUAAUAUAGAACGUGAGCCAAGCAAAGCAGAAAAGCCGGACCCGCCCGAACCCACCUGUAGGCCGAGAGGACGUUGAGAGGCGGCGGGCGCUCGCAGGCCCGGUAGCUCUCCUGCAUGGGCACGGGCAGCGAGUGGCGCUCAAACAGCUGCUGGUCCUGGACGGUGGAGCUCCUGAAGGCCUUCCUCAUGGUGAUGUCCUGUAGCGACACUGAAGGGGGACACGCGACCUUCCGUCACCAGUCGACAUCGAGGAACGGACGACGACUCGGGCGGAGGGAGGCUCGCUCACGUUCUUCCUCUUUGGGGUCCAGCUGCGUGACGCUGAUGGAGAGGCGCUCCACGCGCUCCUGCAGAGAGUUGACCCGGAAGGUGAAGGAGUGCGCCUCGUCAAACAGCUGUCCAAACAGGUCUUCUGCGUAUUUGCCUGAAAAGCAGCAGCAGGAGGACGGACGGUGACAAAGAGCCGGCCGGCCGACUCAUCGGCGGUGUACCGACUGAGGCUGCUGAGCUGUCGGAUGACGCCGGCCAACGAGAUGUUGGUCACGCAUUCCAGCUCGUUGGCGAUGUUCCUCGGCAGCGCCGCGUGGCACAGGUGCCUGGGCUCGAUGGCGCGCUGCACCAGCGGCAUCCUCGCCUGGGGGGGGGAAGAACGUCACAACACGCGAGUAGGUAUGCACGGCUGUCUCUCCUCAACCAGCCCAGUGUCGGAAGCAAAGGACUCGAUCGAAAAGCCACGCUGAUGAAUGACAAAGGCCCGGCCGGCUUUCAAUAACAAGUGGCUGUACGCUCGCGCCGGGGAAAUUCUGUGAUCGCUAUUAGAAGGCAAGCUAAUUCCGGAGGGUACGACGAGAUGGACCACAAUUGAGGUUAGCCCGUCGGCGAGGCCCUGUUCCAGUUUCUCACGGAGCCUCAUCAGUGGCGUCGUCCUUGCGCCGGCGCCAUCUGUCCACUAGGUGGAGCUGAGGGCCCUCCAUUCAAAUCGCGGCCUCCUUUCUCAUCCCGGGUCGUGAUUUAAAGGACUACAGCUCAUUUGCCUUUUUUUUUUCUGCAGACGUUAAUGAUCAAGCGAGCCAUCAUCCAGGCACCGAAGUCCACAUUUGAGCCACAAUCCGGCUUCCCUGGCGGUGACCUUCGAGGCGGGCGGUCAAUGACAUUCACGCAUCUUGGCUGUCUUACGCGCCAGUGCAGUGUCACGGGACGCACACAUGCGUGGCGCAAAGACACAAACGAGACCUUCACAAAGUGCAAGAUGCGUCAGACGCAUGCGUUGCAGAGCGGCGCGUCUUACAUAAGAGUGCGCGCGGAGCGGAGCGAGCUGCAGGCAUGCAAACAAAAGCCAACUCGCGUCCUUUCCCCAGUUUCUUUACCAUUCGAUCACCGAAUGCAAGAGCAGCAGCUUCCAUCAAACGCUCCCAUUUUGCCUUUUUUUUUUACGUGUUUUACGACACUCAACGGGGAGGCGAGUGGCAAAGGACAAGCAGCGGAGAAACACACCAGGGACGACCCGUCCAAAUGGAGCCCGGUGUCCGACUGUCGGGCCAGCGGAGAGCAGGCACAGAAGGCGCCUUAUUGUGGAGCCGUGGGCCUUUGCCAAGAGGACCAACAAUAGGUCCUGUGUGAGUGCCUGGCAGCCCAACGGCUCACAGAUAGGCAGGCGCUGAGAUGGUCCAAAUGGCACGGAACGGGAAAGGGAGGGCAGGGCAGGGCAGGGUCUCUUCGCUAUGCAACUUUGACAAAUGCAUCAAAUUCCUUUUCACUAACACUUAUCCUGGGGCAACCAGAGAGAACGUCACCCAGUAGCGGAGCUACGCACGCACGCAUGCACGCACGCAGUGGCCAGGGGGCCGACGGAUUGGCCUCAUGUUUCAAAACCAAACUGCCUCAUUGGCCGUCUCGAUGCGGUCCUGCCGUUGUUGUGAAAAGCAACCCUAUGGCUGAGUCACGUGAGCGAGCGAGCGCAUUGGGUCAACAGCUGCAAUGGGGCCCGCCGUCCGUUUUUCACACAGGGGCUUUCUUUCACGGUGCCACUUUCCCAGAGCGCAGAGAACGCCGGUGUCACGUUAAAAGUACAACCCGGUCGGUGUCCAUUACAAGGGCUUGGAAGCGCCGUGACGCAAUCACAGUUCACACGAGAUGGAACAAAUUGCCCCCCAAGACGACCACGGUAGAGAUUCAAGCUCGGAACCUCACCUCACGACUGCAAAGCGUACAAUGUGUGGAUUUUUCCAUUUUUCAUAGCUACCCUGCAGCACGCGUACCAAAUGCCAUGCAUGCACUUAUUCACUUGAGGGAAUCCUCAAAGUUUGUGUUUGUGAUGACAUUCUGCCUGCACCUUUUCUGAACAAAUCGGUGGUAGGCUUGCUUGCCCCAUGCAAAACGCACAUGCUUCAAAUGGAGGUCAUUGCAUUUGCCACAAAGUGACACACGCUGUCUCUUUACAAAUGUUACUUUUGUUGAAAUGGUAGUUGUACCUGCACGCCAGUGACAGCUAGGCCACUAUGCCCCCAAGGUACCUCGUGCAUGAACGUAAUCUCAUCAUCAUCUCGAGGGCGAUUUCCACACUAAGCGACUGUGUGUGCGUGUGUUUACAGUGGCCGCUCCAGCGCCAGCAGUACAAAGAAGGUUUCAAAUGUCACCAAGCGUGAUCUUUUCUUCUUCUUUUUCCACUGUGCUAGGAGAAGCCUCCCCCAUCCCCCAUCUUAGGCUGGCUGCUCGCUCGACCCCAUCCGUCGUCUCCAGUGGGCAAAUGAAAUCAGCCAGCCCGGGCGUUUGCUCAAGCGGGGAGCCCCCACAUCCUGACAGGCACAUGUUAUAUGGGGUCAGCUCGGUGCUCUUAGCGGUAAAUAUUUGCUCUGCCACUAAUGUGAUGUUGCGCAGGGCCAACAUGUCAAGAGGCUGCUGCUGCUGCUGCUGCUGCUGCUUCCCAGAUGUGGAGCACGCUGCAAUGCAACCAGUUAACAUCAGCGCAAAAAUGAACUUGCCACAAUCACGCUGGCGGGCGCCUUUGUUUGUCUUUUUACGCUUCAAAUCGCAUUGAUGCACCUAUGUGGUAGGUAGAGUCGGUCCUAAAGUUACGACGGGCUGGCUGCAAACCGAAGACGCAUCCUAAAAUACUCCCCCUUUUUAUUUUUUCCGAUCCAUCCUCAUUUGGGGCUCGAGCAUGCCGCCGUGCGCAAGCAUUCGGAUCCCGCCCGGAUUUGUGUCCAUGACCGUCCGGCUCGUAUCAAAUGUGCUCCUUCGUGCAAGAAGAAGCGGAGGAGGGGGAGCCGGCCACUUUUCUUCCAAAGUGGAUUCCUUCGGCGUUGGACUGAGCGAAAUGGGCACCAAAGAGCGUCCGCCAAUCUAUUAUCAACACGAGUGCUAUUAAAACGUUACAUCCGAUUCGUACAAAUGCGCUUGACAAUAGUCCACGCCCAAAAACGGUGCACGAAGAGCAUUCAUUUGCAGGGGAAUGUCCCCGUGAAAAGUGACCACAGUGGUACGGGCCACUCUAUUGUUAGGACGCCGACCGUGGAUAAACCUGCGCUAGUAUCGACGCGUCACCAAUCGUUUUAUAAUGUGGUGCUUAUUUCAACAUAAAUGACUGUUUUAAUUCAUUGUCAUUUAUAAUAGACAAAAAUGUAUCAUAUUUGAUGUUGUGGUAAUAAUCCAUUUCAUACGGUGUAAUGUAGGCACUUCAAGAAUAAAAAGAAUAGUCCUACUUUUA
Molecule: long non-coding RNA, 3870 nt
Organism: Syngnathus acus (greater pipefish)
Lineage: Eukaryota; Metazoa; Chordata; Actinopteri; Syngnathiformes; Syngnathidae
Exons: 3
Source: RefSeq, a predicted model, not a curated record